UCUUCAUUAGGAUGUCAUCAUCAGCUUCUUCCUGGACUUCGGCAAACAACCCAAUGUGCACUUGUGGGAAGCCCGCAAAACUUAGAACAUCGAAUACGCCAAGAAAUCCGGACCGAUCAUUUUUUGGGUGUCCAAACUGCAAUACGAAGGGAUUAUCACACUGCAGCUAUUUCAAAUGGGCAAAUCGCAAUGAGGAAAGAGAAAAAGAUCUUAUGAAGAUAUAAAUUGAGUUGUUAAGAAAUGAGGAAGAGCUUCAAAGAAGAGAUGAAGAGAUUGUGAAGUAUAAGUUGGGAAUCCAUAACGACCAACUUGAUAUUCAAAGGCAACAAGCAAAGAUCCGGCGUGAACGCACACUACUUAAAAUCUCUUGGAUUAUUUUUAUAUUAAUUUCAUUGUAUUGCAUCUGUAAACAAUGAAACCAUAUUACUUGAGGGAAAUUUGUAUAUACUUUUGUGGCAUUUGUUGUGUAUAACUUUAAGCAACUAGUUGAGAAAUUGAGUUGUA
Long non-coding RNA from Juglans microcarpa x Juglans regia, 504 nucleotides. RefSeq lists it as uncharacterized. NCBI's taxonomy places the organism in Eukaryota, Viridiplantae, Streptophyta, Magnoliopsida, Fagales, Juglandaceae. The record is from RefSeq and is a predicted model, not a curated record. The transcript has 2 exons.